RNAcentral lists this ribosomal RNA (254 nucleotides) under uncultured bacterium. Its description in RNAcentral is "partial 16S ribosomal RNA". It matches the Rfam family "Bacterial small subunit ribosomal RNA", at positions 524 to 776 of the family's 1533-position model. The record is from RNAcentral.
UACGGAGGGUGCAAGCGUUAAUCGGAAUUACUGGGCGUAAAGCGCGCGUAGGCGGUUUUUUAAGUCGGAUGUGAAAGCCCCGGGCUCAACCUGGGAACUGCAUCCGAUACGUGGAAGACUGGAAUGCGGGAGAGGGAGGUAGAAUUCCAUGUGUAGCAGUGAAAUGCGUAGAUAUAUGGAGGAAUACCGGUGGCGAAGGCGGCCNCCUGGCUCGACAUUGACGCUGAGGUGCGAAAGCGUGGGGAGCAAACGGU